AACCAGCACCUCAAGUGGUCAGGAUGAUUAUUGGGCCUAAAGCAUCCGUAGCCGGCUCUGUAAGUUUUCGGUUAAAUCUAUACGCUCAACGUAUGGGCUGCCGAAAAUACUGUAGAGAUAGGGAGUGGGAGAGGUAGACGGUACUCGGUAGGAAGGGGUAAAAUCCUUUGAUCUAUCGAUGACCACCUGUGGCGAAGGCGGUCUACCAGAACACGUUCGACGGUGAGGGAUGAAAGCUGGGGGAGCAAAC
Molecule: ribosomal RNA, 250 nt
Filed under: uncultured bacterium
Lineage: Bacteria
Description: partial 16S ribosomal RNA
Rfam family: Archaeal small subunit ribosomal RNA
Source: RNAcentral